Molecule: ribosomal RNA, 723 nt
Filed under: Rotylenchus sp. B SAS-2019
Lineage: Eukaryota; Metazoa; Nematoda; Chromadorea; Rhabditida; Hoplolaimidae
Description: partial large subunit ribosomal RNA
Rfam family: Eukaryotic large subunit ribosomal RNA
Source: RNAcentral
CAAAGCACUUUGAAGAGAGAGUUAAAGAGGACGUGAAACCGAUGAGGUGGAAACGGACAGAGCUGGCGUAUCUGGCCUGUAUUCAGCCACGGGCCCGCCGGUGUCAGGGAUGCCGCUCUCCAGAUUGGGACGGUGGCCUGUCUGCUGGUGGGUUUGUGGUGCAUUUGCAGGUGGAGUGCGCCGAGGCGCUCGGGCACAGCGGCAUGAGCCCAGUUUUGAGGCCAGCCUCGCAAGAGGUCUGGUACCCGGACUGGGGGAGUGUUGUUUGGCCUGGGUGUACAAGUGGGGCAAUGGAAUCGGGCCCGGGUGGGUGCCGAGCUGGCAGUCGGCGUCGGUCGCAUGCGACACGUGCCAGCGGUCAGUUCGGUCCUGCUCGAGCUCACAUCUGCCCGUCCUCGGUGUAAAAGCCGGUCAUCUGUCCGACCCGUCUUGAAACACGGACCAAGGAGUUUAGCGUGUGCGCGAGUCAUUGGGCGUUAAAAACCCAAAGGCGCAAUGAAAGUGAAGGUCUCCCUUGCGGAGCUGAUGUGUGAUCCUGGUGCACUGCGGUGCCCGGGCGCAACAUAGUCCCGUCCCGACCGCAUGCGGUGGGGCGGAGACAGAGCGUACGCGCUGAGACCCGAAAGAUGGUGAACUAUUCCUGAGCAGGAUGAAGCCAGUGGAAACUCUGGUGGAAGUCCGAAGCGAUUCUGACGUGCAAAUCGAUCGUCUGACUUGGGUAUA